UUGUACAUGUAAAUAGACAAACACAGCUAACCUAAGGUACGGAGAAUGAGUGCUCUUCGUCCCAUGCACGUCAACCAAUCCUCGGUCGAACACUCAACUAUUCACUUGCACCAUGUCAUAUUUUAACUUUAACUUAAAAAGGUCGCAACCACUCACCACCUUCUAGCGAUAAUGAUGACGUGGGUCGCUGGUUGUGGUGGCGGCGGAGGUUACAGAGGCAAGGGCUCUUGCUGCAGAGUGUCUUUAGAUCUUGUCGUUGAAAGGUCUUAUGGGAUGGGCUUGAUCAAGUUGUUGGAUUCGGCAAUGCCUGUCGGGAAUGGGGCGAACGGGACUUCGGAUUAGUGUUCGGAACGGUUGAAACUGUUCGACUGCCUAGCUGUUAGUGUCCACGGAAUGUGGACGCAGAACGCAAGAAUGCGUUCGAUAGUAACUUUAGCUUGCUCUUGGCCCCGCGGCAGGCCGUUGCGCGAGCAAAGGUCGGACGAUCCUGUGAAGUUCCUAAGAUUUUGCAGAUCAAAUGCACACCCAAGAAACUAACCUCUAGGAAUUAAGAUUAUUCCUGAAGACUUCGCAUGGUCGGCUUCGGCAGGCG
Molecule: long non-coding RNA, 592 nt
Filed under: Volvox carteri
Lineage: Eukaryota; Viridiplantae; Chlorophyta; Chlorophyceae; Chlamydomonadales; Volvocaceae
Description: long non-coding RNA (VCAR_LNC000870)
Source: RNAcentral